ACACGGUCCAGACUCCUACGGGAGGCAGCAGUGGGGAAUAUUGGACAAUGGGCGAAAGCCUGAUCCAGCCAUGCCGCGUGUGUGAAGAAGGUCUUCGGAUUGUAAAGCACUUUAAGUUGGGAGGAAGGGUUGUAGAUUAAUACUCUGCAAUCUUGACGUUACCGACAGAAUAAGCACCGGCUAACUCUGUGCCAGCAGCCGCGGUAAUACAGAGGGUGCAAGCGUUAAUCGGAAUUACUGGGCGUAAAGCGCGCGUAGGUGGUUUGUUAAGUUGGAUGUGAAAGCCCCGGGCUCAACCUGGGAACUGCAUUCAAAACUGACAAGCUAGAGUAUGGUAGAGGGUGGUGGAAUUUCCUGUGUAGCGGUGAAAUGCGUAGAUAUAGGAAGGAACACCAGUGGCGAAGGCGACCACCUGGACUGAUACUGACACCGANGUGCGAAAGCGUGGGGAGCAAACAGGAUUAGAUACCCUGGUAGUCCACGCCGUAAACGA
Molecule: ribosomal RNA, 493 nt
Filed under: uncultured Gammaproteobacteria bacterium
Lineage: Bacteria; Pseudomonadati; Pseudomonadota; Gammaproteobacteria
Description: bacterial SSU rRNA
Rfam family: Bacterial small subunit ribosomal RNA
Source: RNAcentral